GAAAGAAGCAGUUAAUACAAAACUCUACGCAUUGUGUUGGUCUGUGUUGGUCUGUGGAGUCGGAUUGAGACCAUGCGUGAGCUGCACAGUCCAGCUGCUCUGGCCACCAGCAGGAGGCUCUGUGGGGACGUGAGAGACUCCACGGUGAUGUGCGAAGAGGAGGGAGGAGGGAGGUCAACAUGGACCAAACCAUGAAGGUGCCUGUGAUCCAUAAUCCUGGAGCCAAGGAGGAUCCAGCAGACGUGUCUAUUGUGAUUUAGGGAAAGUGCUGAACACGGAAUGAAGAUCCAAGAGGUGAAAUAAAACCAAGGAAGCAUGUUGGCAUUACUGACACCAUGGGCGCGGUUAUGCGCCACAGCCAGAGCAGCAGAAACCGC
This is a long non-coding RNA of Gasterosteus aculeatus aculeatus (three-spined stickleback), 377 nucleotides long. NCBI's taxonomy places the organism in Eukaryota, Metazoa, Chordata, Actinopteri, Perciformes, Gasterosteidae. The record is from Ensembl.